Molecule: ribosomal RNA, 253 nt
Filed under: uncultured bacterium
Lineage: Bacteria
Description: partial 16S ribosomal RNA
Rfam family: Bacterial small subunit ribosomal RNA
Source: RNAcentral
UACAGAGGUCUCAAGCGUUGUUCGGAUUCAUUGGGCGUAAAGGGUGCGUAGGCGGCGCGGUAAGUCGGAUGUGAAAUCUCGGAGCUUAACUCCGAAACUGCAUUCGAUACUGCCGUGCUUGAGGACUGGAGAGGAGACUGGAAUUUACGGUGUAGCGGUGAAAUGCGUAGAUAUCGUAAGGAAGACCAGUGGCGAAGGCGGGUCUCUGGACAGUUCCUGACACUGAGACACGAAGGCUAGGGGAGCAAACGGG